This 235-nucleotide ribosomal RNA is filed under the name uncultured bacterium. RNAcentral's name for it is "partial 16S ribosomal RNA". It matches the Rfam family "Bacterial small subunit ribosomal RNA", at positions 96 to 334 of the family's 1533-position model. The record is from RNAcentral.
UGGCGGACGGGGGAGUAAUGUCUGGGAAACUGCCCGAUGGAGGGGGGUAACUACUGGAAACGGUAGCUAAUACCGCAUAACGUCGCAAGACCAAAGAGGGGGACCUUCGGGCCUCUUGCCAUCGGAUGUGCCCAGAUGGGAUUAGCUAGUAGGUGGGGUAACGGCUCACCUAGGCGACGAUCCCUAGCUGGUCUGAGAGGAUGACCAGCCACACUGGAACUGAGACACGGUCCAG